RNAcentral lists this ribosomal RNA (487 nucleotides) under uncultured bacterium. RNAcentral's name for it is "partial 16S ribosomal RNA". It matches the Rfam family "Bacterial small subunit ribosomal RNA", at positions 30 to 523 of the family's 1533-position model. The record is from RNAcentral.
AUUGAACGCUGGCGGCAGGCCUAACACAUGCAAGUCGAGCGGGGUUUUCGGACCUAGCGGCGGACGGGUGAGUAAUGCGUAGGAAGCUGCCCGAUAGAGGGGGAUACCAGUUGGAAACGACUGUUAAUACCGCAUAAUGUCUACGGACUAAAGUGUGGGACCUUCGGGCCACAUGCUAUCGGAUGCGCCUACGUGGGAUUAGCUAGUUGGUGAGGUAAUGGCUCACCAAGGCGACGAUCUAUAGCUGGUUGGAGAGGAUGAUCAGCCACACUGGAACUGAGACACGGUCCAGACUCCUGCGGGAGGCAGCAGGGGGGAGUAUUGGAAAAUGGGCGCAAGCCUGGUCCAGCCAUGCCGCGUGUGUGAAGAAGGCCUUCGGGUUGUAAAGCACUUUCAGCGAGGAGGAAGGGUGGUGUGUUAAUAGCACAUAUUUUGACGUUACUCGCAGAAGAAGCACCGGCUAACUCUGUGCCAGCAGCCGCAGUAA